GGUCGCGUGGUCUAAUGGUUAUGACGUUUCGCUCACAAAGUAUCAUUAAAUAUGAUAUCCGAAAAGGUUCCGAGUUCGAUCCUCGGCGUGACCUU
This 95-nucleotide transfer RNA is filed under the name Pseudogymnoascus verrucosus. RNAcentral describes it as "partial tRNA-Val". It matches the Rfam family "tRNA". From Rfam's summary of the family: Transfer RNA (tRNA) molecules are approximately 80 nucleotides in length. Their secondary structure includes four short double-helical elements and three loops (D, anti-codon, and T loops). RNAcentral also lists the same sequence under 1 other name. The record is from RNAcentral. Lineage: Eukaryota; Fungi; Ascomycota; Leotiomycetes; Thelebolales; Thelebolaceae.